Molecule: ribosomal RNA, 200 nt
Filed under: uncultured bacterium
Lineage: Bacteria
Description: partial 16S ribosomal RNA
Rfam family: Bacterial small subunit ribosomal RNA
Source: RNAcentral
AGAGUUUGAUCCUGGCUCAGAAUCAACGCUGGCGGCGUGCCUAACACAUGCAAGUCGAACGAGAAAGUGGAGCAAUCCAUGAGUAAAGUGGCGCACGGGUGAGUAACACGUGACUAACCUACCCUAAAGUGGGGGAUAACUUCGGGAAACCGAGGCUAAUACCGCAUACGGUCUACGGACUAAAGGAGCAAUUCGCUAUA